Molecule: ribosomal RNA, 437 nt
Filed under: uncultured Porphyromonas sp.
Lineage: Bacteria; Pseudomonadati; Bacteroidota; Bacteroidia; Bacteroidales; Porphyromonadaceae
Description: bacterial SSU rRNA
Rfam family: Bacterial small subunit ribosomal RNA
Source: RNAcentral
CAGCAGUGAGGAAUAUUGGUCAAUGGGCGAGAGCCUGAACCAGCCAAGUCGCGUGAAGGAAGACGGUUCAUAAGGAUUGUAAACUUCUUUUGCAGAGGAGUAACGAUAGGCACGUGUGCCUAUGUGAACGUACUCUGCGAAUAAGUAUCGGCUAACUCCGUGCCAGCAGCCGCGGUAAUACGGAGGAUACGAGCGUUAUCCGGAAUUAUUGGGUUUAAAGGGUGCGUAGGUGGCUAUUUAAGUCAGGGGUGAAAAGCAUGAGCUCAACUCAUGUCUUGCCUUUGAAACUGGACAGCUAGAGAAAAGACGAGGUAUGUGGAAUGUGUGGUGUAGCGGUGAAAUGCAUAGAUAUCACACAGAACUCCGAUUGCGCAGGCAGCGUACCAGACUUCUUCUGACACUGAAGCACGAAAGCGUGGGGAUCAAACAGGAUUAGA